RNAcentral lists this ribosomal RNA (167 nucleotides) under uncultured bacterium. RNAcentral's name for it is "partial 16S ribosomal RNA". It matches the Rfam family "Bacterial small subunit ribosomal RNA", at positions 1334 to 1500 of the family's 1533-position model. The record is from RNAcentral.
GCUAGUAAUCGCAGAUCAGCAUGCUGCGGUGAAUACGUUCCCGGGCCUUGUACACACCGCCCGUCACACCAUGGGAGUCGGUAACACCCAAAGUUGGUAGCUUAACCGCAAGGAGGGCGCCGCCUAAGGUGGGAUUGAUGACUGGGGUGAAGUCGUAACAAGGUAGC